This 63-nucleotide transfer RNA is filed under the name Dorysthenes granulosus. Its description in RNAcentral is "tRNA-Tyr". It matches the Rfam family "tRNA". From Rfam's summary of the family: Transfer RNA (tRNA) molecules are approximately 80 nucleotides in length. Their secondary structure includes four short double-helical elements and three loops (D, anti-codon, and T loops). The record is from RNAcentral. Lineage: Eukaryota; Metazoa; Arthropoda; Insecta; Coleoptera; Cerambycidae.
AGUGAAGUGGCUGAGGUUAAGCGAUAAAUUGUAAAUUUAUUUACGGGGGAUACCCCUUUACUA